UGGGGCACUCAGUGGUGCUUGUUGGAUGGA
This 30-nucleotide non-coding RNA is filed under the name Homo sapiens (human). Lineage: Eukaryota; Metazoa; Chordata; Mammalia; Primates; Hominidae. The record is from RNAcentral.